Molecule: ribosomal RNA, 497 nt
Filed under: uncultured bacterium
Lineage: Bacteria
Description: partial 16S ribosomal RNA
Rfam family: Bacterial small subunit ribosomal RNA
Source: RNAcentral
GAUGAACGCUGGCGGCGUGCCUAAUACAUGCAAGUCGAGCGAACAGACGAGGAGCUUGCUCCUCUGACGUUAGCGGCGGACGGGUGAGUAACACGUGGAUAACCUACCUAUAAGACUGGGAUAACUUCGGGAAACCGGAGCUAAUACCGGAUAACAUGUUGAACCGCAUGGUUCAACAGUGAAAGACGGUCUUGCUGUCACUUAUAGAUGGAUCCGCGCCGCAUUAGCUAGUUGGUAAGGUAACGGCUUACCAAGGCAACGAUGCGUAGCUGACCUGAGAGGGUGAUCGGCCACACUGGAACUGAGACACGGUCCAGACUCCUACGGGAGGCAGCAGUGGGGAAUCUUCCGCAAUGGGCGAAAGCCUGACGGAGCAACGCCGCGUGAGUGAAGAAGGUCUUCGGAUCGUAAAACUCUGUUAUUAGGGAAGAAAAAAUGUGUAAGUAACUAUGCACGUCUUGACGGUACCUAAUCAGAAAGCCACGGCUAACUACGUG